Molecule: long non-coding RNA, 541 nt
Organism: Myotis myotis
Lineage: Eukaryota; Metazoa; Chordata; Mammalia; Chiroptera; Vespertilionidae
Exons: 3
Source: RefSeq, a predicted model, not a curated record
AAGGUGAGAAAAAUGAAAACAUUAUAUAUGAAAGCCGGUUCUGUUUACAAAAGCUGACCUGGGGACCAUGGGCACUCUCCAUAAACACAUCAAUUACGGAGAACUUCGCUACAUUAGCCUGCGGAUAAGCAAACCUCUCGCGGGAAAAAUAAUCCAAACUCCCAAAAGUCCACCUUAUAAAACUUUGUUAUUUUCAGUUAGAAAGAACACAUUGAAAAGCUUACAGUGAAGUUGGUGAGAUGGCUUUUCUUUGUCUUGGAAUCUACAAGGUAAUAUAGGGGAAGAAAUUCUGCCUUUGAAAUGUAGGCUCUGUAAAUGAUCAGCAGCACAGUAAAGAAUUUCACGGACUGAAUCUCAAGCUCCUGGCAUUUUCCAGGAGAACAGGAGAGAAAAUCUGCCUUGAUGGAGAGAGAUUCCUGAGCAACGAUGAAAACAGCAGUCACUGUCAACACAGCUAAUACUUGCACGGAGCCUCUCAUCCAUGGCGCUCGAAUGACUCACACUUCCAGAUGGCCAUGCUAGCCUUCAUCCAGAUUCCAAU